This 392-nucleotide ribosomal RNA is filed under the name uncultured bacterium. Its description in RNAcentral is "bacterial SSU rRNA". It matches the Rfam family "Bacterial small subunit ribosomal RNA", at positions 96 to 505 of the family's 1533-position model. The record is from RNAcentral.
UGGCGGNACGGGUGAGUAACGCGUGGGUAACCUGCCUCAUACAGGGGGAUAACAGUUGGAAACGACUGCUAAUACCGCAUAAGCGCACAGUGCUGCAUGGCACAGUGUGAAAAACUCCGGUGGUAUGAGAUGGACCCGCGUCUGAUUAGGUAGUUGGUGGGGUAACGGCCCACCAAGCCGACGAUCAGUAGCCGACCUGAGAGGGUGACCGGCCACAUUGGGACUGAGACACGGCCCAAACUCCUACGGGAGGCAGCAGUGGGGAAUAUUGGACAAUGGGGGAAACCCUGAUCCAGCGACGCCGCGUGACUGAAGAAGUAUUUCGGUAUGUAAAGGUCUAUCAGCAGGGAAGAAAAUGACGGUACCUGACUAAGAAGCCCCGGCUAAUGACU